This 475-nucleotide ribosomal RNA is filed under the name uncultured bacterium. RNAcentral's name for it is "bacterial SSU rRNA". It matches the Rfam family "Bacterial small subunit ribosomal RNA", at positions 335 to 800 of the family's 1533-position model. The record is from RNAcentral.
ACUCCUACGGGAGGCAGCAGUGGGGAAUAUUGCACAAUGGGCGCAAGCCUGAUGCAGCCAUGCCGCGUGUAUGAAGAAGGCCUUCGGGUUGUAAAGUACUUUCAGCAGUGAGGAAGGUGGAUAUGUUAAUAGCAUAUUCAUUUGACGUUAGCUGCAGAAGAAGCACCGGCUAACUCCGUGCCAGCAGCCGCGGUAAUACGGAGGGUGCGAGCGUUAAUCGGAAUUACUGGGCGUAAAGCGCAUGCAGGUGGUUUGUUAAGUCAGAUGUGAAAGCCCGGGGCUCAACCUCGGAAUUGCAUUUGAAACUGGCAAACUAGAGUACUGUAGAGGGGGGUAGAAUUUCAGGUGUAGCGGUGAAAUGCGUAGAGAUCUGAAAGGAAUACCGGUAGGCGAAGGCGGCCCCCUGGACAGAUACUGACACUCAGAUGCGAAAGCGUGGGGAGCAAACAGGAUUAGAUACCCUUGUAGGCUCUGC